AGACCUUCCUUUGUUCUAUUUUCGUGGGCUUUUCCCUUCUUUGUCUUUUAGCCACUGCCAUUCUGGACUCCUUUUUCCUAUUCUAGGUACCUAAAACAAUCAAUAGUAAGACAAGAAAAGACUAUUAUUUGAGCCAAACUACGGUAUAGUCAACGCUAUUGUUUUUCCAUUAGUCAUGCACGCAUGUGGGAAUUAGACCAUAAAGAAGGCUGAGCACUGAAGGAUUGAUGCUUCUGAAUUGUGUUGCUGGAGAAGACUCUUGAGAGGCCCUUCAACAGCAAGGAGAUCAAACCAGUCAAUCCUAAAGGAAAUCAACCCUGACUAUUCACUGAAAGGACUGAUGCUGAAGCUCCAGUGCUUUGGUCACCUGAUGCAAACAGUCAACUUUCCCCGAUGCUGGCAAAGGCUGAGGGCAGGAGGAGAAGAGGGUGACAGAGGAUGGAGUGGUUCAAUGCCAUCCCUGACUCAAUGGACAUGAGUUUGAGCAAACUUCAGGAGAUGGUGAAAGACAGGGAAGCCUGGCGUGCUGCAGUCCAUGGGUCACAAAGAGUUGGACAUGACUGAGCCACUUAACAGCAACUGAAGACUAGCCUGGAAGGCUGCUUUCCAGAUGACUCUGAGAAACUACUUCUGAGAAGCAUCGUUUUAUAUUUUGUCAGAACAAAUAUUAAAGAAUCAGGGUUACAUUUCUUCAAAGUUAAAAUGAAAACAACAACAACAACAACAGAUCUGUAUGUAUACAGCGAGUCAGUAUGGCCAUGGCGCCUGGGAAGGGACUCCUAUCAUCAAAGGAAUACAGCACUGGUGUCCCAGGAAGAGAGGCAUUUAAUUUUUACUUUUUAACACAGAUGUUCUUUACUUUUGAAUGAAAGCUCAAUGAAGGAAGUGAUAUUUCCAGCUUUUAGAGCAAUUCUUAGCAUAGUACAUGCUCAGUAAAUCGAUCUUGAGUGAAGGAACUUGUGGCAAAAUGACCAAGAGUACUCUAUGGAACUGGGAACUGGGUCUCAAAGAUCCUGUAAAAACUGCAAAUUCAAUGACUCUGCACAUGAUUACUAAGUUAUGGUCUCUGGAGGUGGGCCCUGAGAAUCUGGUUGGUUCUUACACACAAUUAUUCCUUCUAAGUGAUGCUUCCAAGAAGGCUAAGGAGCCAGAGUUAGUUCCAGGAUUCCGAAUGGCUAUUUUGUAGCAAACCAAGGAGAGGUUGGCCACUCAACUAGGUUGACUAGGCCAAUAAUUUUGAACCUAGGUCCCUUUUGCUCCCUAGGACAUACUUGGCAAUGUCUGGAGACAUUUUAAGUUGUCCAAACUGACAUAGUGGGGGUAGUGGGAGAGGCAUGCUGUAGAAGGUCUAAGAGCAGACCGAGGUACUGGGCUUGACCAAUGAGCAUCUUAUUCUCUUGAUGACAGUGACUGCAACUAAAUCAACAGAAAUUCUGGGAUUUUUUUUUUUUUUGGCUCUACUGGAAAUUUGACUCUUGCCUGCUGCUGGCUUGAAGCUGGGAGCGUGUGACACUGCAGCUCUCAGGUGUCUUCACAAAGCUGCCCGACAGGAAAGCAGAACUGAGAGACACACAGAAACUCAGCCCUGAUGACUUAUAUCUGAACAAGUCCUGCCUCAAAUCUCCUGGAAAAGCAUAUAAAGAGGUAGAUUAACAUUACAGUGAUACGUGGACUGGAUGCACUAAAUUGGAUCCGAGAGCCAAUAUAACCAAUAAUGAUCCCUGGCAAGUUGAGCCUUUGCCCCCAAAGAAAUAGCAAGUGCAAUUCAAGUUUGAGACAGAAGGUGGGGAUUAGAAGGCAUCCCAGCACUCUUUUCUUUAGUGAAAGUUCGAGGGCCCCUUGUAACAUUUGCAGAAGUUAAAGUUUAGGUGGGGCAAGCUGACUCUGGCCAAUUGGAAGAAGAGAGGGAGAGGAGAAGAAAUACGAUAGUAAAUUAAUAUUUAAUGUGUGGUAGCCCAACUGGCUUUGCUAGUAAGGUAUCAGGUAAUAAAAACAUUCCAUGAUGUAGCCAGUAUGGAAAGAGGGUUUAUUGGCCCUAGGAGAAGGCAGUCAUAAUUCAGAGCUAUUAACAAAAAUAAUAGGGC
Molecule: long non-coding RNA, 2084 nt
Organism: Bos taurus (domestic cattle)
Lineage: Eukaryota; Metazoa; Chordata; Mammalia; Artiodactyla; Bovidae
Source: Ensembl